AGUGAACGCUGGCGGUAGGCCUAACACAUGCAAGUCGAACGGCAGCACAGUAAGAGCUUGCUCUUACGGGUGGCGAGUGGCGGACGGGUGAGGAAUACAUCGGAAUCUACUUUUUCGUGGGGGAUAACGUAGGGAAACUUACGCUAAUACCGCAUACGACCUACGGGUGAAAGCAGGGGAUCUUCGGACCUUGCGCGAUUGAAUGAGCCGAUGUCGGAUUAGCUAGUUGGCGGGGUAAAGGCCCACCAAGGCGACGAUCCGUAGCUGGUCUGAGAGGAUGAUCAGCCACACUGGAACUGAGACACGGUCCAGACUCCUACGGGAGGCAGCAGUGGGGAAUAUUGGACAAUGGGCGCAAGCCUGAUCCAGCCAUACCGCGUGGGUGAAGAAGGCCUUCGGGUUGUAAAGCCCUUCUGUUGGGAAAGAAAAGCAGCAGGCUAAUACCCCGCUGUUCUGACGGUACCCAAAGAAUAAGCACCGGCUAACUUCGUG
Molecule: ribosomal RNA, 492 nt
Filed under: uncultured bacterium
Lineage: Bacteria
Description: partial 16S ribosomal RNA
Rfam family: Bacterial small subunit ribosomal RNA
Source: RNAcentral